UGGGGAAUAUUGCACAAUGGGCGCAAGCCUGAUGCAGCCAUGCCGCGUGUAUGAAGAAGGCCUUCGGGUUGUAAAGUACUUUCAGCGGGGAGGAAGGCGAUGCGGUUAAUAACCGCGUCGAUUGACGUUACCCGCAGAAGAAGCAUCGGCUAACUCCGUGCCAGCAGCCGCGGUAAUACGGAGGGUGCAAGCGGUAAUCGGAAUUACUGGGCGGAAAGCGCACGCAGGCGGUCUGUCAAGUCGGAUGUGAAAUCCCCGGGCUCAACCUGGGAACUGCAUCCGAAACUGGCAGGCUUGAGUCUCGUAGAGGGGGGUAGAAUUCCAGGUGUAGCGGUGAAAUGCGUAGAGAUCUGGAGGAAUACCGGUGGCGAAGGCGGCCCCCUGGACGAAGACUGACGCUCAGGUGCGAAAGCGUGGGGAGCAAACA
This 427-nucleotide ribosomal RNA is filed under the name uncultured bacterium. RNAcentral describes it as "partial 16S ribosomal RNA". It matches the Rfam family "Bacterial small subunit ribosomal RNA", at positions 355 to 774 of the family's 1533-position model. The record is from RNAcentral.